RNAcentral lists this ribosomal RNA (449 nucleotides) under uncultured bacterium. RNAcentral describes it as "bacterial SSU rRNA". It matches the Rfam family "Bacterial small subunit ribosomal RNA", at positions 355 to 796 of the family's 1533-position model. The record is from RNAcentral.
UGAGGAAUCUUGCGCAAUGGGCGAAAGCCUGACGCAGCGACGCCGCGUGGAGGAUGAAGGUUUUCGGAUCGUAAACUCCUGUUAAGUGGGAAGAAAAGCCUAUUUUUAAUAGAAAUAGGUAAUGACGGUACCAUUAGAGAAAGCACCGGCUAACUUCGUGCCAGCAGCCGCGGUAAUACGAGGGGUGCGAGCAUUAUUCGGAAUUAUUGGGCGUAAAGGGUGCGUAGGUGGUAUGUUAAGUCAACUGUUUAAUUCCUCGGCCUAACCGAGGUCAUGCGGUAGAUACUGGCGUACUAGAGGGUGGAAGAGAGAAGUGGAAUUCUCGGAGUAGCGGUAAAAUGCGUAGAUCUCGAGAGGAACACCAAUGGCGAAGGCAGCUUCUUGGUCCACACCUGACACUGAGGCACGAAAGCGUGGGGAGCAAACAGGAUUAGAUACCCCCGUAGUCC